Molecule: ribosomal RNA, 490 nt
Filed under: uncultured bacterium
Lineage: Bacteria
Description: partial 16S ribosomal RNA
Rfam family: Bacterial small subunit ribosomal RNA
Source: RNAcentral
GACGAACGCUGGCGGCGUGCUUAACACAUGCAAGUCGGGCGGAAAGGCCCUUUCGGGGGUACUCGAGCGGCGAACGGGUGAGUAACACGUGAGUAAUCUGCCCUUGGCUUUGGGAUAACCACCGGAAACGGUGGCUAAUACCGGAUACGACCACUCCCGGCAUCGGGUGGUGGUGGAAAGUUUUUUCGGCCAGGGAUGUGCUCGCGGCCUAUCAGCUUGUUGGUGGGGUAAUGGCCUACCAAGGCUUCGACGGGUAGCCGGCCUGAGAGGGUGACCGGCCACACUGGGACUGAGACACGGCCCAGACUCCUACGGGAGGCAGCAGUGGGGAAUAUUGGACAAUGGGCGGAAGCCUGAUCCAGCAACGCCGCGUGAGGGAUGACGGCCUUCGGGUUGUAAACCUCUUUCAGUACCGACGAAGCGCCGAUGAUGGCGGUGACGGUAGGUACAGAAGAAGCACCGGCCAACUACGUGCCAGCCGCCGCGGUAA